GUUGUCCUUGAAGAGUUAACUUGCCCAGAACAGUGAAAGAAAAAGCUGCUUUUAAGGGAACUUCUGCAGACUGUGAACUUCUGAGCCCCUCCCCUUACAUGCUGGGUAUAAAACACUGAAACUCCCUGAACUCGGGGGGUUCAGAGGAUUGAUUGAUUACAGCAAAAGCUGUACCCUCUGAACUUGGCUGCAGCCAAAUAAAACUGUUUCCUGCUAUCUUCUGUGCCUUGCCUCCUUUGUCCCUACAACAUUUUUGGUGACCCAGAUGGGACAGAGGAGAUAAGGAAGGCUAUUCUGCCUCUCCUGUCUCCAGGACCGACUUCCCUGGGGCGAUGGGGGACAGUGGUCCCCUUGGCGCCCAGGCCACUCUUGGCCUGAAGGAGGAUUGACUCACCCAGCGCCCUGGGGCUGCCACCCUGGAGCACAACAGAACCCACAGGCAGCAGGAACCAGAAUUAGGGUUUUGGAGCACCGCCCAGCUGAACAGGUAGGACCCGGGUCCAUUUGGUUUUGUAGCCCACCUGAGUUCCCCUUCGAGACCUAAGCGGGUGGAAGAGAGGCUUGAUCACCCUCUGUUGGGUCCCGAGUACCCUCCAAAGUGGUUGGAGCUGAAACUGACCCGGGGAGUAGCCAGAGUAGUCUCUGUUCGGGGUCAGCGAGCAGAGGGGAAACCGUGACUCUCUUUUCUGUUUGGUUUGGAACUGUUGGAAUUUGGGCGGUAUAGAAAUUCUGUCCUGGCCAUGUCUGUGUGAAAGUGUGUGAAUGAGACGGACAAAGGGAAGGGUUCCAACCCAACCCGAGGGACGAAGCGAGUGCAGAGUCCUGAUCCGCGGUUCCGUGGCACCUCAUACAGUCUAUGGAGGAAUUUCACCAACCAACGUCUAGGUGAAAACUCCAGGUCUGGGGUUGAUACCGACCCGCUAGGCUAAGAGGGCCCUAAGUCCCCGCGAGGGGAGCUGCUGGAGAAGGACGAAGCGAGUCUUGUCCUAAAUGUGUUUUGUUCUAAGUGUGCGACACCGAUGCAGGGUGGAACAUGGGAGGCACACUAAGGAAACUGAGACUUCUGAAAUGUGUGUGAGAAGCCUUUAGGAAGGUUUUCCUGGUAACUGUGGGUGAGACUCACUCCACAAAGGUUGCAGACUCUGUGAAUUAGAGUGGCUCACCCAAGAUGUGGGAUGGCCACCAGAAGGAUCUUUAGAUGAGAGAGUCAUUGCUGAGGUCCUUUUGGUUGUUGUUGGAACCCUGAACCAAUUCUCUUAUAUUGAUUGCUGGCAAGAGAUAAUACAAAAACAGCCCCCUUGGUUGAGAGCCUGUCUAGAUGGACAGUCCAAGCUGAGGUUAGCCAGGAGCAUAGUGGUCUCUAAGACCCAGCGGAAAAUAGCUAAACAGAAAACCUGACUAGGAAAGACAGGAAAGAAAACAGUUUUCCCCAUGAGCCAGAAGAGGACCCAAGACCAAUUUUGCCAAGAUCACUGGGACAGCAGACUGUCCCCUCAGCCCCCUUGUCCUCAGAGGUAACAAAUGAUGGCCCCCAAUACUGGCUAUUCUUUCCUCUGUGAUGGCCUCAAAGCCAAAGGCUUCCUAGAACCAAAGAUUCUUUCACCUCCAAAGAUGAAGGUGGGAGAUUUGUCCCAAGAUCAGAACCACAACCCAGAUGAAAACUCUCCAGAUGCCCCUGCAAGGGACUAAAGGACAUACCCAUGUUGACCAGAGGGAAACGUCUGAGGGAGACAAGGGAGACAAGGCAGUUUUGUGUGCCAGCCUUUCACCACCAUUGUGCUCAUCAACUGGAAAAAUCAUACUCCCUCCUACAUGGAGAAACCCUGUACCAUGACUGAUCUGAUGCAGCCUAUUAUCCAGACCUAGGAUGGGGCCCCAGCAAAGAAGAAGGGCUAAAGAUAGAGAGAUGUCAAGAAGCCCUCCUAGGAAGUCUAAAAGAAAAGAAAAAAAGAGAAAAAAACACACUGUCUGUGCCCAAGAGUUAGAAGGAAUUGGAGCCAGCCCUGAGCCCCAGCCUAAGCUGAACACAUCUGCAGACAAACAGAGCCGAGAUAAGCCUCCUGCUGCUCCAGCGUCUCCCUCUCGCACCCUCGAUAGCCUGAAUAUUUCUCUCGGCCCCACAUCUGCCUAAGGCCUCUCUGCCCUAUGAAACUGGCAGCAAUAAUCAAAAGAGAUGUGCCCAACUGACUCAGAGCUAAAUGUCCAGGCCACCGCGGCUGCCGCCCCUCUCCCUGCCCAAAGGUGCUGGGGGGGGGGGCACCAUACAAACAUUGCAGCCACAGUGCAAGUUUGUCAGUGAAGAAAUGCAUAGGCACAAGCAACAGGUGAUCAAUGCAGCCUUUGUGGGACAGGCUCAGAGAGCCAUUUGACAAAAAUUACAAUCCUAGAGGGCUUUACUGAGAAGCGUGCCAGAGACUCAAAGACAGGCAGACCAGAAAGAUAAAGAGGAGGAUGGAUCUCCUUACAAACCCGGAGUUCACUCAAAGGGGGGUCUCACUAGUACAAAGACAAUGGUCCAAAUGUUUAUAAGGAAAAAAAAAAAAAAAAGCAUGGCCAGACAAAAGGGGAAGCCACCAAUGGCCCUGGCAGACAAGUACCCACUGCCAUGCUCAAAAGCUAAGACUUGAACAGAAAAGCAAUGAAUGUUUUGGCGUCAGCCUCUCCUUUCAGUUUCUUCCCACUUGCUCGGAAGUCUGUGAUUGACGAAUAUGGCAGGGGUCCAAUAGACACACACAACUGUAUCUGAUGCACGGGACCCAGUGCCUCAGGAGGGCUCAGCUGCUGCAAGCCCCAAAAUGAGCCAGGAAUAUGUUCAUGUUAACAGCUGAUAGUGAGCCAUAGGGUGCUCACUCCAAAAGGACAUGCCACCCUGGCUCCAAGCCGCAUGCUGUGAGCCACCAGCAGGAAGGGCCACAGAGCCCCAUGCAACCAAGCAUACUGAACAAAACACAAGCGGGGCAGCUACUAUAGACAAUUAGAGCAGGCUCCCACCUGACAAGAGGAGAAAACCAUGCAAAGAGCAACAGCUAGAUGGACACAAUGUGGCUGCCACACUGGGACUUGCAUGGAACCGCAGACGGCCCACGGUGAGAUUUACAUAGGUGCCUUUUACACAAAUUAUGUCCCAGGUCAUCAGCCUCUGCUAAGAUUUAAGAGUUGGAGAAUCCUAGCAACCAAGAUCCUGCACUGGGAGAUAACAAAAAAAAAAAAAUCCUGCAUCCUAAAGCGCCAGACACUCUAUGUACGCCUCCCUUCCCUAAAUGACAGUUCCUCCCAGGGGCUUGAGUACAUCAUCCUUGGGACAGCACUGGACUCUGACUUAAAACCCCAUAUCUACCAAGAAAAAGGUCAAAUACUUUGGUUACCAUCUGACUCGACAACAGAACAGACAAUAGCAACUGGGCCUCAAAAGAAACAGGAGCUCUGCUCAAUUCCAGUCCCUUCAACCUGCCAUCAGACUAGAGAAUUCUUGGGGGCUACUAGGUUCAGACAUGUACGGAUCCCCAACUUUCAGUUAUGACAAAAGCCCUCUAUGAAGCCACAAAGGGGGGAAAUGGGAUCCUCUUAUAUGGGGGUCAACUAAGCAAAAGGCCUUUGAGGACAUUAAACAAGCACUCACCUGUGCACCUGGAUUAUGGCUCCCUGACCUCACAAAGCCUUUCUUUCAGUAUGUCCAUGAUCUGUCUGGAGUAACUGUGGGAGUUUUGACUCAGAUGCUGAGGACAUGGCACUGUCCAGUGGCCUAUUUGUCCAAACAGCUGGACUCUGUAGCCCAGGGCUGGCCACCUUUAUUUUGAGCUCUUGCAGUCACAGCUCUUCUGGUAUCGGAAGCUGAUAAACUGGCCAUGGGACAAGAACUGGUAGUCAGAGUUCCUCAUUCAAUUUUGACAUUGUUAAAACACUAUUGGUUGACUAAUGAAAAAUUGGUCAAAUAUCAGGACAUGUUAUGUAAAAACCCACAUAUCUAUGUUGAGGUCAUCAGACCUCUAAACCCAGGAACUUUGCUGCCCAUUGGACCUGGAAAACCUGAUCACAAAUGUGUUGAGGUCAUGGAUGAAGUGUUCUCCAGCAGAUCAGACCUAACAGACCAGCCUCUCGAGGACGCUGAUGCAGAGUACUUCACAGAUGGAAGCAAUUUUGUAAAAGAUGAGGUAUGUUUUGCUGGAUAUGCAAUGGUCACUCUGGACUCUACUGUCGAGGCAGAAUGUCUGCCUCAGGGAACUUCAGCACAAAAGUAAAACUUAUUGCUUUGAUUCAAGCACCUCAGUUGACAGCAGGAGUCUGUGUGGAUAUUUACAGACUCAAAAUAUGCGUUGGCUACCUUCAUGUUCAUAGGGCCUUAUGUAAGGAAAAGGGGCUCAUUAACUCAGGAGAAAAAAAAAAAGGCAUGAUGUAUGGGCAAGGAAUUCUUGAACUUUUAAAUGCACUGUGGGCUCCCAGGAAAGUUGUGAUUAUAUAUUGCCAAGGUCAUCAAAUGGGAAACACUGUGGUUUUUCAGGGCAACAGGAGGAGAGCUGACAGAAAGGCCAGGUUAGCUGUCUGCAAGAAACGGGAAGAAAAUCCAGUCCCAGGUUUAAAUGCUGCCCUUUUGCCUGGCCGACUAGCUAACAAAAUGGGAGCCAACACACUCCCAACAUGAAAGUAAGUGAUUUAAGACUGAACAAGAAAAUUUUCUCCCAGGUGGAUGGUGGAGAUUUUCUGAUGGCUGGAAUAGCCAUCCCGGAGUUUCUAGCCCCAGCCUUUAUCAAACAGUUUCGCAAAAAUAUGUUGGACAUACAGCACUUGAGACAGUUCUGAGUCAACGUUUCUAUGACCCCCAGCUCACAAACAUCACCUGGAUGAUCUGCAAACAAUAUGAGGUUUGUGCUCACAACAAUUCUUGUCAGGGGCCAAAGCUUUCACCAGGAAUCCAAACUAUAGGAGGAGCACUUUUUGAAGACUUGGAAGUAAACUUCACUGAACUACCAUGCUCACGGGGCUAUAAAUAACUUUUGUUUUUUGUGAGUUCAUACUCUGACUGGGUGGAAGCCUUUCCCACCCGCACUGAAAAGGCUAAGGUGUCCCAAUAAUUAUUGGCUCAGACAAUAGGCCAGCUUUGGGGCAGAAGUGAUAUGAUUACUAACCAAGAGUUUACAUAUCAGAUGAAAGUUACGUUCUGCCUAUAGGCUGCAGAGUUCUGGUAAAGUUCAAAGGAUGAACAGGAUUUUAAGGCUCAAUUGGGUAAGCUGUGUCAGGAGACUUACAUUGUGUUCAACUUCUCCCUAUCACACUGUUGUGGAUUAGAUCCACUCCCACUAGGAGGACUGGAUUCUUUUCUUUUGAGAUAAUAUAUAGGAGCCCCCCCUCUUAUUAGGGGACUACAGGGAGACUUAAGAAAGAUAGGAAAAUUAACCCUGAGUCGACAGCUUCAGGUCUUAGGGAAAACUUUACAGGUUCUCAACCAAUGGGUUAGAGAAAGAUUGUCAGUGAAUUUGACCCAGGUGCACACUCCUUCAAGCCUGGAGAUUGAGUCUGGGUCAAAGAAUGAAAUAUUCAGCCUCUAAACUUCUUUGGAGGGGCCCUUUCAAUGUUAUUUUAUCCACCCCAACUGCAGUAAAGUUUGCAGAGAUAGGUCCCUGGAUUCACUACACCAGACUCACACCUGCAGCUGCGGACUGGGAGUGCUCUCCAGAUGCUGAUACGCCCUUGAAGCUGACCAUCCUGAAGAAAAAGAAGCACCAGAGAAGCUUGAGGAUCAGAAGGACAACAGCCCUGCUCCAGUCACUCCGGAAGCUGACUGGUCUACGCACGGCCGAAGCUUGAGGAGACUGCGGCCCUGUUUCAGCCACACAGGAGGGACUAACUGAUCAAUACAUGGUGAAAGAUAAACUUCCCACCGGGAUUAAGAAACUCUUUCAACCUCUGAGAUAGUUCUUAUACAGUAAUGCAUUGCCACCCCUUGCUUCUAGGUAUAUACACAGUUCUCUGUUUGGUUUUAGCUACUGGUUUGAUAACAGUAACUCCUAACUGACUGGACUCUGGGUAACAAAAUUUCACUUAUAUAUCUAUUUUUUUAUCUUGGUUAUAUAAGUUUUCUAGGAUUUGUUUGGUGUUAUUAGUUUGGCUUUGUUAAUUUAUGCUGUUUAACCUAUGCUAACCAAAAUGUUAGUCUAUUAUUUAGUUUGGUUUCCUUUGAUAACCUUAAGAGGUUCUGCCCUACUCCUAUUCCAGCCAUGGAGAUCAUGUGAACCAUGUGUCAAGACAAUCCACUAUAACUAAGAGGUGGUAAAACAUAUAUUUAGGACCUGUCCCACCAGAGGAAUGUUAUAGAUGGAUAACUGUUUGGAAAGGAAAAAGAGGUCCAUUGGAAAGAAACUUGAUUUAGGAGGUCACCAAUCUUGGGGUGAAGGUAACUGGCCAUCCCAGAGGAUUAUUGCCACUUAUGGUCUUGCUACCUGGGGACAAAAUGGCAGUUGAAAUUAUAGAACUCCUAUUUACAUGUUAAACAGAAUUAUUCACUUACAAGCUAUACUAGAAAUUAUUAUUAAUAAGACUGCCAUAGCCUUUGACAUCCUAGCCACACAACAGAUCAGAUGCAAGUGGCUAACUAUCAAAACUGCUUGGCAUGAGAUUACCUACUGGCUAAGGAAAAAGAAAUAUGUGGAGAGUUCAACAGCUCAGAUUAUUGCAUCCAAAUGGAUAGGCAAGCAGUUAAGGAUAUAGCCAACAACACAAGAGAACUAGCACAUGUGCUCAUUCAUACCUAGAAGGGAAUUGAAGUUUGGGUCCCAAACAUGCUUUUGGCAGAUGGUUUUCAACUCUUGGUAGAUUUAAAAGCUUAACUGGUGUAAUGGGUAUUCCGCUAUUAACCUGUUCAUUGCUCCCAUGUUUGGCUCCACUGUGCAUUAAAACUAUUGGGUCCACUAUAGAAGCUGCUGUUAAAAGGAUGGCAACAACUAAGGUUUUGACAUUGUAUAAGACUUUAAGCCAAGAUAAUGGUAAUGAUGCUCUUAAAUUUAAAGGAUUAAAUUAUGGGGAGCAUCAUUAAAGGGGGGAAUUGAAGUGGCACCCCUUUCUCCACAGAAAAGCCCUCUUCACCAUGGCUAAUUCUAGGACUGUCAGCAAAAGAGUCCAUUGUAGAUAAACUUCCUAUUUUCAUGUCACCCUGUUUACUUGGCCACUGGCCGAGAAGAUACCAGCACUCCAGGUGCUGGACAUCCCCUUACUAGUUUUUCACAAACAUAUCAGUAUAGUACUUUGAAGAAAUGUGCAAACAAGGCCUCUGGCCUUGAGCUGAGCUUCACAGAGAUGUCUAUAUUUUUAAGAUAAGUUAUAAAUGGGCCCAUGGUAACAUCUGGCAGGGGGAGGAAAGAAAGGGGAGAAGAAGCUCUCCCCUUCUCAGGUGUUGUCCUUGAAGAGUUAACUUGCCCAGAACAGUGAAAGAAAAAGCUGCUUUUAAGUGAACUUCUGCAGACUGUGAACUUCUGAGCCCCUCCCCUUACAUGCUGGGUAUAAAACACUGAAACUCCCUGAACUCGGGGGGUUCAGAGGAUUGAUUGAUUACAGCAAAAGCUGUACCCUCUGAACCUGGCUGCAGCCAAAUAAAACUGUUUCCUGCUAUCUUCUGUGCCUUGCCUCGUUUGUCCC
RNAcentral lists this long non-coding RNA (7626 nucleotides) under Marmota monax (woodchuck). Lineage: Eukaryota; Metazoa; Chordata; Mammalia; Rodentia; Sciuridae. The record is from RNAcentral.